UGAUUUACUAAUCGCCUCGGCAACUCAAGAAACUGCUCUUGCUUCCACCACAGUUAGGUCUAUUUCCAUCACCUUGACCGACCUGGAUGUGCUUGAUUGUCCUAUUUGCUAUGAAUCCUUGACCAUCCCCGUCUUUCAGUGCUCUGGUUUGGGGGUCUAGCGCAAAACACAAGCCCUAAAGAGUUGGAAAGGAGCAUCUGCUCGAAGAUGAGGAUAUUGUUUAGAUUAUCAAAAAGGUGUGAUUUGGCAGGAACUCAGAAAUAUGUGCAACCUUAGCAUCAAGAUAUCGUUUGUAGGACUAAAGCUUUUGAGACACACAAGCUUGUACUUUGCAGAGUAUACAACACUCUUUUUGUCUGUUCUUUUAGUCGUAAGGGUAGGUAAUGUUUAAGGCAGCUUGUUAAGUGAUAUCAAGGAAUCUUACUGCACCUUUUUGUUAUCAAAGCUAUUCUUGAUAUAUAAGGAAGCUAAGAAGUUUGCUUAUUAGAAUGGAGCAAAGGUGGUUGCUGUUUAUGGUGGAGCGCCAAUGGGUCAGCAGGUUUGUGUCUCUGCAGGCUCACUGGCCAUUCUGUUUUCUGUGACCACUUCUAUGAUUCGGGUGAUUCCAUUCAUGAUCAGAUUGUGAAACUGGUACAGCAGUACACCUAGCUAGUUCCUUUAUUAACUUGUGUCUAGUAGAAAUUUUUCAUUCAUUAAGCAUUUGAACUUGUCUGCAGAUCCAGAUUAGUGGAUAUGGGUUAUUUUGAACUGAUGUUCAUGAUUAGGUUUGUAUACAUGAGACAAUGGUGGAUUAAUGGAAAUUGCAAUGAAUGAUUUUGGAUGUGGA
Molecule: long non-coding RNA, 826 nt
Organism: Rosa chinensis
Lineage: Eukaryota; Viridiplantae; Streptophyta; Magnoliopsida; Rosales; Rosaceae
Exons: 4
Source: RefSeq, a predicted model, not a curated record